Molecule: non-coding RNA, 235 nt
Organism: Cinara cedri
Lineage: Eukaryota; Metazoa; Arthropoda; Insecta; Hemiptera; Aphididae
Source: the annotation of a GenBank genome assembly
GUGCCGUGUGCGUUUUAUUACGUAUUCGUAUCAUUUUUUUUUUUUUUUUUUUUAAUAUCGCGACGAUCCUAUUGUUUUCGGCCGGAGCGCGGCGAUACGUCGUACUGGGUUUCGACCGCCACCAACGAAACCGGCCGACGGUUUAGGCGCGCCCGAAAACGCGACCAUGUAUGUGAUAUCAUUGAUACAUAAAAUCGAACGGCCCUGUUAUUAUCCGUUUUUCACGUUUCUGUAG